CACAAUCCCAAUUCACAACCAGCAAACUUCUUCACUCCCAAAUCCCAGAAUCUCUUCCUCUUCCUCUUUCUCAUCUUUGUCUUCAUCCUCCAUGCCUAUGAGCUUUCUUAGCCUUCGUCCUCAUUUAAUUUGCAUAUCUUUGCCAUAAUCUUUCUUCUCAUCAUCUUCGUCUUCUCCCAUCGUCUGUCUUGUUCCUGGUGGUUUAAAGCAACCACUUAUUGUCUUCGUGCUGAGCUCAUUGUUGUGGUGCACUUGAAGCAUCUCCCUCUUCGUAAUUGAACCCUUCAUAGUUUGUUUUUCGUUGCUCCAUCAGAAUUUAUGAUGAUUGGAAUUUUCUUUUUUGUGACGACCUCCCACUCUAAAUAAUGAAGGUUGGCUGGAGGAGAAGACGUCAGAUGAAUCAGAACUAAUUCGAGGUGGGAUCGCAAAUGCUCGCUGUGGCCAGUUCUCUACUGCCCCACCAGCAACGUCAUUAGAGUUGCUGACCUCUGGCAAUGGCGUGAUGCACUUUUCUAGGUCUUUAUACCUGUUCAAAGAAAUUAAAACAAGUGUCUGAGUUAUGAUGUAGGAAGAUGCUCUUUAUAGACAGGGAUGGAUCUAGAACUUAGUAGGUGGGAGGGGGCCAAAGUGAAAAUAAAAUAAAGAAUGGGGGCUACAAUCUAAUGUGAACUAUUUUGCAAGUGAAAAAGAUAAAUACCAAAGGCUGUAUGAUG
Prosopis cineraria is the source of this 713-nucleotide long non-coding RNA. RefSeq lists it as uncharacterized. NCBI's taxonomy places the organism in Eukaryota, Viridiplantae, Streptophyta, Magnoliopsida, Fabales, Fabaceae. The record is from RefSeq and is a predicted model, not a curated record. The transcript is spliced from 3 exons.